RNAcentral lists this long non-coding RNA (216 nucleotides) under Ananas comosus (pineapple). RNAcentral describes it as "long non-coding RNA (ACOM_LNC014748)". The record is from RNAcentral. Lineage: Eukaryota; Viridiplantae; Streptophyta; Magnoliopsida; Poales; Bromeliaceae.
UUUGCACAAGCAAAAACAUAAACAUAUAUGGCUUGCACGAGGGCAAGCAAUAGCCAAAAGUGAAAGAUUCUAAACUAAACAUUCAUACAAGUACUAUGAUUAACUUUUAAUCACAUACAUGCAUUCAAUAUUUACAUUCAUUCUUUUCUUUAUACAUCAUAUGAUCUCCAAAAUUGCAUAACAAUUCUUUCCUAAAAAACUUAAGCUUUUAUAUUU